This 77-nucleotide transfer RNA is filed under the name Candidatus Endolissoclinum faulkneri L2. Its description in RNAcentral is "tRNA-Lys (TTT) (tRNA-Lys-TTT-1-1)". It matches the Rfam family "tRNA". Rfam says of the family: Transfer RNA (tRNA) molecules are approximately 80 nucleotides in length. Their secondary structure includes four short double-helical elements and three loops (D, anti-codon, and T loops). The record is from RNAcentral. RNAcentral also lists the same sequence under 1 other name. Lineage: Bacteria; Pseudomonadati; Pseudomonadota; Alphaproteobacteria; Rhodospirillales; Rhodospirillaceae.
GGGCGCGUAGCUCAGCUCGGUAGAGCAUCUGACUUUUAAUCAGACGGUCACAGGUUCAAAUCCUGUCGCGCUCACCA